AGCUAUAAUUUGCCUAAUGUCAUUCUUUGACAACGGAGGAAUUCUAUUUUGGGGUGAAUCCAUAAAGGUAAGGUUCUCUUUCCUGAACCCGUCAACUAACUUCGUCGGCAUAAAAAAAAGGUGUA
This 125-nucleotide small RNA is filed under the name Clostridium sp. RNAcentral's name for it is "c-di-AMP sequence". It matches the Rfam family "c-di-AMP riboswitch aptamer (ydaO/yuaA leader)". From Rfam's summary of the family: This family represents a conserved RNA structure found upstream of the ydaO and yuaA genes in Bacillus subtilis and related genes in other bacteria. The ydaO/yuaA element is thought to act as a genetic "off" switch for the ydaO and yuaA genes in its native state. It is believed that the element may be triggered during osmotic shock leading to activation of ydaO, a predicted amino acid transporter gene, and members of the yuaA-yubG operon which code for KtrA and KtrB K+ transporters. Lineage: Bacteria; Bacillati; Bacillota; Clostridia; Eubacteriales; Clostridiaceae. RNAcentral also lists the same sequence under 1 other name. The record is from RNAcentral.